Molecule: long non-coding RNA, 514 nt
Organism: Xenopus laevis (African clawed frog)
Lineage: Eukaryota; Metazoa; Chordata; Amphibia; Anura; Pipidae
Exons: 3
Source: RefSeq, a predicted model, not a curated record
CCGGCAGGAACACUGAACCAGGAAGUCAGAAGAUUUUAAGAGCAGCCAGCGUUUUCGUACUACAGGGCGUAACGAUCCCCCCCUCUUCUUGCCACAUGCUCUCUUUGUAUGGGGUAGUACUGAAGGGCUGGGGGAGAAGGACAGCUGCUAUUAUGGCACCAAAGAAGCUAAUUUAGCUGAGCGAAAAUAAACCUACAUCACAUGCAAUAAUAAGGGCAAAUUGAUCCAACAUUUUUCGGCAACGAGCCUGUACGAGAGACACCACAUAAAAAUCGCCGGCAUAGGAUAGAUAAUCGCAUUGGGACAACUAUGUGGCAAUUGCAUGGCCAUGAAGACAGGAGGAAUCUUAUUGUUGCAUGGAACUAUCAAAUGUGAGGAAGAAAUAUCUACAAGAUGACUGUAUCUGCCAUAGUAGAAAUUAUUUCCGAAAAUGUAUAAGUAAACGCCACCUUGAGUAUUUACAGUUCUUUUGGAAUAUGCAACGCCCCACAGAUGGAAUUAGCAGCCACAACAG